This 300-nucleotide ribosomal RNA is filed under the name uncultured Methanogenium sp. RNAcentral describes it as "bacterial SSU rRNA". The stretch from base 60 to 300 matches the Rfam family "Bacterial small subunit ribosomal RNA", at positions 555 to 795 of the family's 1533-position model. The record is from RNAcentral. Lineage: Archaea; Methanobacteriati; Methanobacteriota; Methanomicrobia; Methanomicrobiales; Methanomicrobiaceae.
GGUGUGGAGAGUGAAGCAGCAGAGGUAGUGCGUAGGGUGCCGUGGUGGUCCGGAAGGUGUGGGUGGAAAGGGCUCGUAGGUGGCUGGUAGCGUCGGCGGUGAGAGAGCGGGGCUUAACCCGGAGCCUGCCGUCGAUACGGGGAGACGUGAGUGCGGGAGGGGAGACCGGAAUGCCUGGUGGAGCGGUGAAAUGCGCAGAUAUCAGGAGGAACACCGGCGGGGAAGGCGGGUCUCUGGGCCGUAACUGACACUGAGGAGCGAAAGCGUGGGGAGCGAACAGGAUUAGAUACCCCAGUAGUC